Long non-coding RNA from Ipomoea nil (Japanese morning glory), 199 nucleotides. RefSeq lists it as uncharacterized. The record is from RefSeq and is a predicted model, not a curated record. The transcript is spliced from 4 exons. NCBI's taxonomy places the organism in Eukaryota, Viridiplantae, Streptophyta, Magnoliopsida, Solanales, Convolvulaceae.
GGCAAAUGAGGGGAGAGGAGCUUCAAGAAUUGAGUAUUGAAGAGUUGCAGCAGUUGGAGAGGUCCCUUCAAAUAGGUUUGGGCCAUGUUAUCAACAAUAAGGGUGAAAAGAUUAUGAAGGAAAUAAACCAGCUUCAAGAAAAGGGAGUGCAUUUAAUGGAAGAAAAUGAACGAUUAAGACAGCAGGUGGUAGAGACAUC